Long non-coding RNA from Megalobrama amblycephala (Wuchang bream), 1642 nucleotides. RefSeq lists it as uncharacterized. NCBI's taxonomy places the organism in Eukaryota, Metazoa, Chordata, Actinopteri, Cypriniformes, Xenocyprididae. The record is from RefSeq and is a predicted model, not a curated record. The transcript is spliced from 2 exons.
UUUGAGCAGCUGCAGUAUCAGUUCAGUCACUGUGGCUCUGACUGACAAGAGUUUUUUGUACGACUCUUUAUCACUGUGUAAACGUUGGACCAUGGUGUGCACUAUGACAGUAAUAAUGUCCAGCAUCUUCAGUCUGGACUCCACUGAUGGUCAGAGUGAAAUCACUGCUAGAUCCACUGCCUUUGAAUCUAGGUGGAGUUCCUGACUGGUGGACAUCUGCAUCAAAAACCAGGAGUUUAGGAGCUUCUCCGGGUUUCUGUAAGUACCAGGCUAAAUAGUACUUCCUGCUCCAACUGUAUACACCUCUGCUGAUUUUACAGUUGAUGUUCACAGUUUGUCCUGGUUGAGCUGCUGUCAUUGAGGGACUCUGAGUGAUCCUGAUCUGUCCUUUGCUCUCUGAAACACACAACAAGAAGAAAAUCACCUCAAAACUUUGACAAUAUACUAUGAAUUCAUCUCAAACUUGUGCUUCACCAACCUUGAGCAAACGCUGCCAGAGUCCAGAUGAAGAUGAUGAUGAAGGUCAUGUUGAUGAAGAUUGUUGUGUCAGUGAUGAAGUGUUAUACUCACAGCACUAUAAAUACUCUCAGAGCACUGAAGCACCUGAUCAAUAUGCAAACAGACUCUAGAUCAUUUACCUAAAGACAGCAGAUACUCCGUUUCACCAUGUAAUAUCUUUGCUAAUACUUUUUAAAUGACCAAUUUACAGAAACAAACACUCAUGAUUUACUUCAUAUUAUUUUGGUUUGAUCUUCUCCUUCUAAACAUGGUUUUAAUGAUCAGUUUUAUUCAGACUUUGAUGCUGAGAGCGUUUAAUACAUGUGCUGCAGAUUUUAUAUCACUCAUGAAACUGUAUAACAGGUCAAAGAUCAUCCAAUAGGGAAUGACCAUCUAAAUCUUGCUAAAGAUUUCAUUGUAAAGCAGGUAAAUAGAAUUACCAAUGUGUUUUUUUAAAUGUGAUAAAUGCAUUUCAGCACUGAUUAUGAAACUAAUUAUUUUACCAUCAUGCAACAGGUUUUUCUUUUAAGAUGAAGAUUGUAUGCCUCUUUUUAGACCAAUCCAUGGCUGAUGUUGAGAAGAGCUGCUGUUGAGUCUCAUAUCAGUGUGUCGUUCGCUCUUCCUCUGCUGGAGUUGGUGUUCAUUUGAGUGUGACGGAGGUUUUUGUAUGACGCUUUCACUAGAAAGAAGCACUGUGGUACACUUUCAGUGGAGGAACUAAACUGACGAUCAGAACUGGUCCCACAGUGAAGCCCUCCGUGUCUCUGCUGCCGCCCUCUCCUCUGCAGAUCUCUGGAGACUCAGCCGCACUGCUCUGCCUGCUCAGCUCUUACUCUCCACAGGGGACGCAGGUGAGCUGGACGCUGGAUGGGUCAGAAGUCCAGCAGCGUCCUGAGCCUCAGCAAAGCACGCUGGGAAGGUGCAAAGCGGUUUGUCUGCAGAGUAACACAUGACAGAGCUGCUUACGAGGCCUCGUUCUUCAAGAGCUCCAAGUGCUGAUGUUUCUCCAGUGAAGAUGAGCCAUAUCAGAAUUUGUGUGAUUAAUAGCUCAAUACUGAACCAGUCUUUCAAUGUGCUGCGUUUGCUGUUCAUUCAAUAAAGCUUCUGAACGCAUUAUAUUUGUGUUCGACUGCAUCAUUGAACA